Molecule: non-coding RNA, 330 nt
Organism: Hipposideros armiger (great roundleaf bat)
Lineage: Eukaryota; Metazoa; Chordata; Mammalia; Chiroptera; Hipposideridae
Source: the annotation of a RefSeq genome assembly
AUGUCAGGCUUCUGUGCUCAGCCUGAGCUGACCCAGCCCCCAUCUGCAUCUGCCUUCCUGGGAGCCUCCGCCAAGCUCACCUGCACCCUGAGCAGUGAGCACAGACGCUACACCAUUGAAUGGUUUCAGCAGCACCCAGGGAAGGCCCCUCACUACAUAACGUAUAUUAGGAGUGAUGGAAGCCACAGCAAGGGGGAUGGGACCCCUGAUCACUUGUCGGGCUCCAGCUCUGGGGCUGACUGCUACUUAACCAUCUCCAACCUCCAAUUUGUGGAUGAGGCUGAGUAUUACCGUCGUGAGGGCCGCACAACUGAUGGCCAAGGCGGGUAA